Molecule: non-coding RNA, 363 nt
Organism: Pelobates cultripes (western spadefoot toad)
Lineage: Eukaryota; Metazoa; Chordata; Amphibia; Anura; Pelobatidae
Source: the annotation of a GenBank genome assembly
CUCUGGCUUCCUUUGCACUGUCUGUAUUUACACGGCUUUUCUACACAUAAUUCUCUCUCUCUCUGCCUCUCUUGUUGUGACAUACGUCUUGGUUAAGGGGGAGGAUGGGUCAGAAGUUUGUGCAGCCGCUCACUGAGGGCUGGCUAGCGUGUGAGAAAAAGGGAGGGGGAAAAAGGCAAGGUGCAGAAAGUACUCAUAACACUCUGACUCAUAACACUCUGAUUGGUGGGCUUGAAAUCCAUUCAAUCACAGUGCUCUGUGUCAUUUUACACAGCGUGGAAAAGUUCUUUGGAAUUUCUCCAUGCUGUGUUGUAACGGACCGUUUUGCACACAAGAGGUUAAAACCCGCUUAGGUGAUAUUCC